CCNNCCCCUCCCUUCCUCUUGCGGAAUGGAGGAAAUCUAAUCCAACAUCGAGGUCGCAAACGUGUUUGUCAAUUUGAGCUUUCAAAACACAUUACGCUGUUAUCCCUAAAGUAACUUAUUUAACCUUCAAAAAUUUUGGGUAUUAAAAUAAUGUCAUUUAUAUAUUUUAAAAGUGUUUUUCUUCCUACCGCCCCAGUAAAACAUAUUUUUAAUUUAUUAAAUUAUUUUAUGUAAAGCUUUAUAGGGUCUUCUUGUCUAAAAGAAACAUUUUAGCCUUUUUACUAAAAAGUAAAUUUCAAAAGAAAAAGCUAAGAAAGAAACUUUCUAGUUUAUCCCUUCAUUCCAGUCUUAAAUUACAAGACUA
RNAcentral lists this ribosomal RNA (364 nucleotides) under Centruroides exilicauda. RNAcentral's name for it is "partial 16S ribosomal RNA". Lineage: Eukaryota; Metazoa; Arthropoda; Arachnida; Scorpiones; Buthidae. The record is from RNAcentral.